This 404-nucleotide ribosomal RNA is filed under the name uncultured prokaryote. RNAcentral's name for it is "bacterial SSU rRNA". It matches the Rfam family "Bacterial small subunit ribosomal RNA", at positions 355 to 776 of the family's 1533-position model. The record is from RNAcentral. RNAcentral also lists the same sequence under 2 other names.
UGGGGAAUAUUGGGCAAUGGGCGCAAGCCUGACCCAGCAACGCCGUGUGAGGGAAGAAGGUCCUCGGAUUGUAAACCUUUGUCUUAUGGGACGAUAAUGACGGUACCAUAGGAGGAAGUCACGACUAACUACGUGCCAGCAGUCGCGGUAAUACGUAGGUGACGAGCGUUAUCCGGAAUUAUUGGGUGUAAAGGGUGCGUAGGCGGGCUGUAAAGUCAGGCGUGAAAUGCAGGAGCUUAACUCCUGAACUGCGCUUGAAACUUACGGUCUUGAGUGAAGUAGAGGUAAGCGGAAUUCCUAGUGUAGCGGUGAAAUGCGUAGAUAUUAGGAGGAACACCAGUGGCGAAGGCGGCUUACUGGGCUUUUACUGACGCUGAGGCACGAAAGUGUGGGGAGCAAACAGG